RNAcentral lists this non-coding RNA (125 nucleotides) under uncultured Pseudophaeobacter sp. Its description in RNAcentral is "Ruegeria cis8 sRNA". It matches the Rfam family "Ruegeria cis8 sRNA". Rfam says of the family: Cis-encoded. Targets hypothetical protein. Lineage: Bacteria; Pseudomonadati; Pseudomonadota; Alphaproteobacteria; Rhodobacterales; Roseobacteraceae. The record is from RNAcentral.
GUCAAUACUUUGGCGAUAUAGGGGAUCAGUGGCAGGUUGAGGAUCAGUAGAACCAGAUUGCCAAUGAACAUCGACAUGAUCACUGCCCAGAAUAUCUGCGGCUCGUCGAUCAUAAGACGCGGACC